GUUUUAACUCCAUUUAAAAAUUUCCACAUUUUGUGUUGUUAUGUAGUGCGCUCACCUGAGAUAUUAAAUAAAUACUUUUAAAAUAGUACCCCCAGUACCCUAAAAAAUGAUUUCUCAGGUUUAUUAUUUUGUAAACAAACCGAGAUAGAGAUGCAAUCAGUGAUUUUAACGAAAAAUUUCUACUGGUCGCCGGACCACCAGCUGACAAAAUCUACUGGUC
Molecule: long non-coding RNA, 220 nt
Filed under: Mytilus galloprovincialis (Mediterranean mussel)
Lineage: Eukaryota; Metazoa; Mollusca; Bivalvia; Mytilida; Mytilidae
Source: RNAcentral